This 416-nucleotide ribosomal RNA is filed under the name uncultured beta proteobacterium. RNAcentral describes it as "bacterial SSU rRNA". It matches the Rfam family "Bacterial small subunit ribosomal RNA", at positions 9 to 429 of the family's 1533-position model. Lineage: Bacteria; Pseudomonadati; Pseudomonadota; Betaproteobacteria. The record is from RNAcentral.
GAGUUUGAUCCUGGCUCAGAUUGAACGCUGGCGGAAUGCUUUACACAUGCAAGUCGAGCGGCAGCGCGGGGCAACCUGGCGGCGAGCGGCGAACGGGUGAGUAAUGCAUCGGAACGUGUCCAUGUCGUGGGGGAUAGCCCGGCGAAAGCCGGAUUAAUACCGCAUACGCCCGAGAGGGGAAAGUGGGGGACCGCAAGGCCUCACGCGAUUGGGUCGGCCGAUGUCCGAUUAGCUAGUUGGCGGGGUAAAGGCCCACCAAGGCGAUGAUCGGUAGCUGGUCUGAGAGGAUGAUCAGCCACACUGGGACUGAGACACGGCCCAGACUCCUACGGGAGGCAGCAGUGGGGAAUUUUGGACAAUGGGGGCAACCCUGAUCCAGCCAUUCCGCGUGAGUGAAGAAGGCCUUCGGUUGUAAG